Molecule: ribosomal RNA, 301 nt
Filed under: uncultured bacterium
Lineage: Bacteria
Description: partial 16S ribosomal RNA
Rfam family: Bacterial small subunit ribosomal RNA
Source: RNAcentral
CAGUCGCCGCGGUAAAACGAGGGGUGCAAGCGUUAUUCGGAUUGAUUGGGUGUAAAGGGUGUGCAGACGGCUUAUUAAGUCACUUGUUAAAUUCUUCGGCCCAACUGAAGGUCUGCAAGUGAUACUGAUGAGCUAGAGGGUGGAAGAGAGAAGUGGAAUUCUCGGAGUAGCGGUAAAAUGCGUAGAUCUCGAGAGGAACACCAAUGGCGAAGGCAGCUUCUUGGUCCAUUCCUGACGUUCAUACACGAAAGCGUGGGGAGCAAACAGGAUUAGAUACCCCCGUAGUCCCUGUCUCUUAUAC